RNAcentral lists this long non-coding RNA (1720 nucleotides) under Nicotiana benthamiana. RNAcentral's name for it is "long non-coding RNA (NBEN_LNC006390)". The record is from RNAcentral. Lineage: Eukaryota; Viridiplantae; Streptophyta; Magnoliopsida; Solanales; Solanaceae.
AAUUGAAUCAUCAAAGUAAAGUCUUCAAAUUCGCUAAGUCAAGUUAAGGCCUUCAAAUUAGCCAGAAGUUGAAGUCCCCAAUUCUGCAGAACUGUCAAGUUGAAUCAUCAAGUUAAAGUCUUCAAAUCUACUAAAUCUUCAAGAGAAGUCUUCAGAUAUGUCAAAUCUUCAUGUAGAAGCCUACAAGUCUGCCAUAUCUUCAAGUUGAAAUGUAAAGACAAAAGAUUCUUCGAUUGUGAGGUUAACUUUACUAAAGUAGUAUCUUUGGAAUUGAUUUUUUCUUCUACCUGCCAAAAAAAAAGUAAAAACAUAUCUAUAUAAAGGAGAUCACAAAUUUACCUGCGAAGAUUGAAGUUGAAGAGAUAUUCUUGGUGGUUAGCUUUUGAAAGAAUAAAAUCAUGCUUUAUACAAUCUUUGAUUGAUGUAUCUCGAAAUGAGGACGCGCUUUCAUUCCUUUACGCCAAAAGGUCAAAUCUUUUGGUGGUGAAGUAAAAUCUUCAAGUUAGAUUGUAUAAUAGACUUUGCUUGUCUUCGCCUUGGACAAAGUAUAGUCUUCAGCUUAGACAGUGUAAUGGUCCUAGCCUCGGACAAAGUAAAGUCUUCAGCUUGGAUGGUUGUCUUCGCCUUUGCAAAAUAAAUCAUUAGCUCAAACGGUGUAAUGGUCUUCGCUUCAAAAAAAAUCUUUGGCUUAGGCGGUGUAAUGGUCUAUGUCUUAGAUAAAAUGACGUUAAAUCUUAAAACAAGAUGAAGUCAUUAGCUUAGACGGUGUAAUGGUCUUCGCUUAAGACAAAAUAAAUCUUUGGCCCAGACGCUGUAAUGUUCUAUCCCUUAGAUAAAAUGAAGUUAAAUCUUAAAACAAGAUGAAGUCAUUAGCUUAGACGGUGUAAUGGUCUUCGCUUCAGAAAAAAUAGAUCUUUGGCCCAGACGGUGUAAUGGUCUAUGCCCUAGAUAAAAUGAAGUUAAACAAGAUGAAGUCAUUAGCUCAGACGGUGUAAUGGUCUUCGCUUCAGAUAAUAAAUCUUUGGCAUAAACGAUGUGAUGUUCUUUGCCUAAGAUAAAAUAAAUCUUUAGCUUAGACUGUUAACGGUUAAUGAGUACUCAUCCCCUCACACCCCAAGAAUGACUUCUUCAUGCAUGGAUUCCCUCGUUGAGCAAGAACAUAUUUUUCUCGCUUGACCACAAAAAAAGAAAAAAGGACAACAAAGAAGAAAAACACAUGAAGAGCAAAAGAAAUUACCUUUGCAUCAAUGCUUCCGAGUCCACGAAACUAUAGUCAAAUAGCUUGCAAACAUGAGAAUUGAUACUGAACAAAGAUGUGCGCGUGUGUUUAUAUAGAGAUCUCAAGCCGCUGUUGGAGAAUUAUUUCCCGACGUGGGACUACUGGUAUUGUCAAACUCCAACAAGGAUUUAAAGUGUACGAGCUAAUAUCCUAAUUGAAGUCGGUUACCAUGAGUCGGCGUGUGUUUCAAAAGGGCGCAUUCCUAAUGAAGUAAGAAGACAUAACUUAGCAAUUGUCUACGUGGAAAGAAUUUCUUCCUUUGUAGAAAACAUAAAGUGAAAGUGUAAGUGCCUCGUUACUGCAUGUGAAUGAAGAAAGCAAAUUAAUUCUUCAUCUGAAUUUUGAACGCAAAGAAUGAAGUCGCGUGCAGAUCUUUUGAAAUCAAUGAGCACAACUGGAAAUUUCCUUUAAUUUGACAAUAAGUCAUAUUUAAGCUACAAG